UUUCUAUGACGUUAGCGGCGGACGGGUGAGUAACACGUGGGCAACCUGCCUGUAAGACUGGGAUAACUUCGGGAAACCGAAGCUAAUACCGGAUAGGAUCUUCUCCUUCAUGGGAGAUGAUUGAAAGAUGGUUUCGGCUAUCACUUACAGAUGGGCCCGCGGUGCAUUAGCUAGUUGGUGAGGUAACGGCUCACCAAGGCAACGAUGCAUAGCCGACCUGAGAGGGUGAUCGGCCACACUGGGACUGAGACACGGCCCAGACUCCUACGGGAGGCAGCAGUAGGGAAUCUUCCGCAAUGGACGAAAGUCUGACGGAGCAACGCCGCGUGAGUGAUGAAGGCUUUCGGGUCGUAAAACUCUGUUGUUAGGGAAGAACAAGUACAAGAGUAACUGCUUGUACCUUGACGGUACCUAACCAGAAAGCCACGGCUAACUACGUGCCAGCAGCCGCGGUAAUACGUAGGUGGCAAGCGUUAUCCGGAAUUAUUGGGCGUAAAGCGCGCGCAGGCGGUUUCUUAAGUCUGAUGUGAAAGCCCACGGCUCAACCGUGGAGGGUCAUUGGAAACUGGGGGAACUUGAGUGCAGAAGAGAAAAGCGGAAUUCCACGUGUAGCGGUGAAAUGCGUAGAGAUGUGGAGGAACACCAGUGGCGAAGGCGGCUUUUUGGUCUGUAACUGACGCUGAGGCGCGAAAGCGUGGGGGAGCAAACAGGAUUAGAUACCCUGGUAGUCCACGCCGUAAACGAUGAGUGCUAAGUGUUAGAGGGUUU
Molecule: ribosomal RNA, 768 nt
Filed under: Bacillus sp. (in: firmicutes)
Lineage: Bacteria; Bacillati; Bacillota; Bacilli; Caryophanales; Bacillaceae
Description: bacterial SSU rRNA
Rfam family: Bacterial small subunit ribosomal RNA
Source: RNAcentral